Molecule: transfer RNA, 96 nt
Filed under: Actinomycetes bacterium
Lineage: Bacteria; Bacillati; Actinomycetota; Actinomycetes
Description: tRNA-Arg
Source: RNAcentral
UCGAUUCGGCGGCUCGGGUGGACCGGGGUCGCGACCGCGAGCCGCGGGCGCUCCUCGCCGGGGGCGACGCCGUUGAUCGUGUCGACGUGGAUCAGG